Molecule: long non-coding RNA, 3021 nt
Organism: Doryrhamphus excisus (bluestripe pipefish)
Lineage: Eukaryota; Metazoa; Chordata; Actinopteri; Syngnathiformes; Syngnathidae
Source: RefSeq, a predicted model, not a curated record
AAUAACGGCGACCUGACAGGAAGCAAGAAACACAGCAUAGGUAGUGCACAGUGGACACCAACAUGAACACACGCGGACAAACCCAGACAACGGAAAAACACGCUUCAUCCUGCUCAUCUACUCGUCAUUCAUCGCAGAUCCAUCACAUGCACACAUGCGCGUGCACGUGCUUAACAGGAACAGGCAUAUGUGGCCCUCGCUGGAAACAGUUUGGACACCCCUGAUGUAAGUACGAUGUAUGCCAGUAAAUAAAUAACGCAAGUAAAUAAUCAAAUGUGGAAUAAUACCUUGAGACAAUUGUACAGUUAUUUAUUUUUGCAGCCCAGAUUUUAAGUAGGGCUAUCCAAAGUACAGCCUGGGGGCCUUUUUGGGCCCGCAGCUGUUUUUUUUUUUUUUUUUUUUUUUACUCUUGGCAUAUUGUAAAGAAAUACAAAUAAUUAUUAAAGAGAUAUACUAUUAGAUAUCGCACUAAUUUGCUUUGUCAUCUCUCAAGCAAAGGUAAGUGAUUAUUUGGAUAUGCAGAUCUUGUCCAAACAAGACCUAUACUGUUUCUUUUAUCACAAACCUUGAAUGAGAGAGUGCCUGAGGUUCAGUUGUUCACAUUUUGUCCUUUGCAAGUCACAAUUUGUCAACCAAAGCUUCAGAGAAACACCGCUAUUGAUUUUUAAAGAGUUCAAUGACAGGACGGCGGGAAUUGUCGGGGUUAAAGGUUGUCAUCAUUAGCAGGGCUUUGUUGUCAGUUCAGCACUUUUGAUUUUUUUUCCCCCCUUUUAACCCAUCCUCAAUUUCCAAUGACCGAUCUUACACGUAACAGUCCGAACAGAAGGGGAUAACUGCACAGAACACCAACCAUAGUGAUGCUUGUUCCAUAGUCCAUAGAAGAGAUAACAGGUAUUGCAUACACAUAUGGCAACUGCCUAUACUGCAUGCGUUGACCCAAAAUGAAUGACAUAACAUUAAACACAUAAUAUUAACGCCUGUGCAGCAAAGCAUGAUUGUGCAGCAGUAUGUGCAGAUUGAAACUUUGACUUGUUGGAAUGAAAUAUACUCAUAUUUUGACGAAAACUGGACGAAUGUAUGGCAUAACCGUGCAUAAACGACUGCAUGCUUUUAUUUUGAUGGCCAACAUCACAUUUGCCUGAACGUUGCCAAAGGGACUGGAAGAUGUCUUUUCAUUAAUUUUAUGUUUACGUGUACAUAUACAACAUGUGCAACUAAAUAUCCAGGCUGAAAACAGGAAGGAAAUACGGAAAUUAAAGUAAAAGUGAUUAACAAAAAAAAGAAAAGAAGUAUAAAAUGAAAUGAUGAAUGAGGGGUUUCCUAAAACAUCCAGAUCCUUAAUCGGACGCCAUAGUUCCAUGGUCUGUUUUGUCUGAGGUUGAAAAUAAAGAAAUCCACAUUGUGUCAUCCUUUUGGAACCACUCAUUUGGAAAAUACCACAGAAUGGAAGUUGGACUAUCUAAGUUGUUGGGUUUUGGACCGGUGUGAUACUACGAUACGAACGUCUGAUGGCGCUCAUGGAGGUCCAUUUGUGCGUAUGCUUGGACACGACUGUGGCUUCAUUUAUUCACUCAGACAGGCUGUAUGUACUGUGUGUGUGUGUGUGUGCACACAUGGAAGGACUUUAAAGUGCUGGAAUGUGAGCUGCACACACACACACACACACACACAGAUGCAACGCUUGUCCGUGAAGUGUUAUUGAUGGAGGAAUGUAUCAUCCUCCCACAUGCUGACACACUGCGUUGAGGAAGCUGCAAUGCAACCAACGAUGCUCUUCUCCCGACCAGUCUUACUUUUCCAUGCAAUGUCACUAAAUUCUAAUACCAUUCCGUAAAGGUAGGGGGUCUAGUUAGGAAGGGGUGCACACAUAGCAGCCAUGUUGAGCGACAAAACCCGCUCGCCUUGCAUCACCGCUGUUAGCCUUUAGCGUAAAUAACUACCUAGUUAUUCUUAUGUGUCACUUCAUUCAUUUGAUAUAUUUGUGAUUAAUUUGCUGCGAUCCUAACAAGGUAGAUUUUUUUCCUACAUUGACAUCGUUAUUUAAUUUUUAAAUUUAAUGACUUUGCCUUUUUUUUUUUUUAAACCACAAGAAAUUACAAUAAAAAAUGACUUUUUUGUACUGGAUGUCAUUAGAUUGUGUACCCAAUAUUGUGUGAAUAUGCUGUAUCACCACAAUAACUGCAAAUUAUAAGCAUAAUUCCCAAAACUGCACUUGUCGCCAAUAUUAAAUAUGAUAAGUCAAUCAUUUUCAACUUUUUGGACCGUUUUUAUGUCCUGAAGAGUACAUGAAGUAACAAUAAGAGUGCAUUAAGUUCAACCGUAACUACGUUUAUACAAAAUAUAAUGGCAAUACAUAGCAACACAACACAAAAAAUACUCAUUGUAUUGUUCAGAAAGCGACGCGCACCAAUCAGAAGCCUUUGGUUUAUGAUUAAGGCAGCAGUUGCCUAGCAACCAAACACCUAAAAAUGAAACAAGCUCAGAAACAGCCACUGAUGUCACUUUUUGAAACAUUUCACCACCACAAUAAGAGAACGGAAGAGAAACACAACGCAGACGUCGAUUCAAUGAUCAGCAUAAUAAUAAUGCUUCCAUCCAUUGGCUGUACCGCCAAUAAUAAUAAUAUUAAAUAUGACAAGAUUAGAUAAAAUGCAUGAAUGAAAUGAUAACUUUAUAAUUAAAACAGCAAAAAUAAAAUAGAAGUCAAUUACAAGUACAUGAUUUCCCCUUCCUCCUCUCCUCCAUGUAUGCCUCCAGGAUGCUUUUCAUACGGUGGUCAUGUGACAUCAAAUGGCCCUGAAUUCGAUGAAGAUGAUGAUGAAGGGGAUGCUCCCCCAGCAGUGAAUGUGAAGAUGAAUGACAGGCUGCAAGUUUGAUGACGAGAGAGUGAAGGAAUGAAAAUGGGACGAUGGAGGAUGUGGUCGUUACCCUGGAAACCAACUUUGGCGCCCCCCCCCUCCCUCCCCACCACCUUCUCCUCCUCGCCCCCCACCAACCCUCCCCCUACUCCUCUUUCUCAUC